This 441-nucleotide ribosomal RNA is filed under the name uncultured Actinomycetes bacterium. Its description in RNAcentral is "bacterial SSU rRNA". It matches the Rfam family "Bacterial small subunit ribosomal RNA", at positions 338 to 795 of the family's 1533-position model. The record is from RNAcentral. Lineage: Bacteria; Bacillati; Actinomycetota; Actinomycetes.
CCUACGGGGGGCAGCAGUGGGGAAUCUUGCGCAAUGGGCGAAAGCCUGACGCAGCAACGCCGCGUGCGGGAUGAAGGCCUUCGGGUUGUAAACCGCUUUCAGCAGGGACGAAGUUGACGGUACCUGCAGAAGAAGCCCCGGCCAACUACGUGCCAGCAGCCGCGGUAACACGUAGGGGGCGAGCGUUGUCCGGAUUUAUUGGGCGUAAAGAGCUCGUAGGCGGUUCUGUAAGUCGGGUGUGAAAACUCUGGGCUCAACCCAGAGACGCCACUCGAUACUGCGGUGACUUGAGUCCGGUAGGGGAGUGUGGAAUUCCUGGUGUAGCGGUGAAAUGCGCAGAUAUCAGGAGGAACACCGACGGCGAAGGCAGCACUCUGGGCCGGUACUGACGCUGAGGAGCGAAAGCGUGGGGAGCGAACAGGAUUAGAUACCCUGGUAGUC